GCCAGCCCGCUCAGAAACUCAAAGGAAUUGACGGGGCCCGCACAAGCGGAGGAGCAUGUGGUUUAAUUCGAUGAUACGCGAGGAACCUUACCUGGGCUCGAACGUAAGAUGACUGUAGGUGAAAGCUUACAUCUCUUCGGAGCAUUUUACGAGGUGCUGCAUGGUUGUCGUCAGCUCGUGCCGUGAGGUGUCGGGUUAAGUCCCAUAACGAGCGCAACCCCUACCUUUAGUUGCCAUCAGGUAAUGCUGGGGACUCUAAAGGAACUGCCUACGCAAGUAGUGAGGAAGGCGGGGAUGACGUCAAAUCAGCACGGCCCUUACGUCCAGGGCUACACACGUGCUACAAUGGCCGAUACAGAGGGCAGCUACCUGGUGACAGGAUGCAAAUCUCCAAAGUCGGUCUCAGUUCGGAUCGGAGUCUGCAACCCGACUCCGUGAAGUUGGAUUCGCUAGUAAUCGCGCAUCAGCCAUGGCGCGGUGAAUACGUUCCCGGGCCUU
This 498-nucleotide ribosomal RNA is filed under the name uncultured Sphingobacteriales bacterium. RNAcentral describes it as "bacterial SSU rRNA". It matches the Rfam family "Bacterial small subunit ribosomal RNA", at positions 885 to 1382 of the family's 1533-position model. The record is from RNAcentral. Lineage: Bacteria; Pseudomonadati; Bacteroidota; Sphingobacteriia; Sphingobacteriales.